This 1398-nucleotide ribosomal RNA is filed under the name uncultured bacterium. Its description in RNAcentral is "bacterial SSU rRNA". It matches the Rfam family "Bacterial small subunit ribosomal RNA". The record is from RNAcentral.
AGAGUUUGAUCAUGGCUCAGGAUGAACGCUAGCGACAGGCUUAACACAUGCAAGUCGAGGGGCAUCACGGGAGGUAGCAAUACCUUCUGGUGGCGACCGGCGCACGGGUGAGUAACACGUAUGCAACCUGCCCUGUACAGAGGGACAAGCGGUGGAAACGCCGUCUAAUCCCGCAUGCACUCUUCCGGGGGCAUCCCCGGGAGAGUAAAGGAGAGAUCCGGUACAGGAUGGACAUGCGGCGCAUUAGUUAGUUGGCGGGGUAACGGCCCACCUAGUCUUCGAUGGAUAGGGGUUCUGAGAGGAAGGUCCCCCACAUUGGAACUGAGACACGGUCCAAACUCCUACGGGAGGCAGCAGUGAGGAAUAUUGGUCAAUGGGCGGUAGCCUGAACCAGCCAAGUAGCGUGAAGGAUGAAGGUUCUAUGGAUUGUAAACUUCUUUUAUAAAGGAAUAAAGUGAGGCACGUGUGCCUUUUUGUAUGUACUUUAUGAAUAAGGAUCGGCUAACUCCGUGCCAGCAGCCGCGGUAAUACGGAGGAUCCGAGCGUUAUCCGGAUUUAUUGGGUUUAAAGGGAGCGUAGAUGGGUUGUUAAGUCAGUUGUGAAAGUUUGCGGCUCAACCGUAAAAUUGCAAUUGAUACUGGCGUCCUUGAGUACAGUUGAGGUGGGCGGAAUUCGUGGUGUAGCGGUGAAAUGCUUAGAUAUCACGAAGAACUCCUAUUGCGAAGGCAGCUCACUAAACUGCAACUGACAUUGAGGCUCGAAAGUGUGGGUAUCAAACAGGAUUAGAUACCCUGGUAGUCCACACGGUAAACGAUGAAUACUCGCUGUUUGCGAUAUACAGCAAGCGGCCAAGCGAAAGCAUUAAGUAUUCCACCUGGGGAGUACGCCGGCAACGGUGAAACUCAAAGGAAUUGACGGGGGCCCGCACAAGCGGAGGAACAUGUGGUUUAAUUCGAUGAUACGCGAGGAACCUUACCCGGGCUUAAAUUGCAGCGGAAUGAUGUGGAAACAUGUCAGUGAGCAAUCACCGCUGUGAAGGUGCUGCAUGGUUGUCGUCAGCUCGUGCCGUGAGGUGUCGGCUUAAGUGCCAUAACGAGCGCAACCCUUGUUGCCAGUUACUAACAGGUAAUGCUGAGGACUCUGGCAAGACUGCCAUCGUAAGAUGUGAGGAAGGUGGGGAUGACGUCAAAUCAGCACGGCCCUUACGUCCGGGGCUACACACGUGUUACAAUGGGGGGUACAGAGGGUCGCUACCACGCAAGUGGAUGCCAAUCCCCAAAACCUCUCUCAGUUCGGAUUGAAGUCUGCAACCCGACUUCAUGAAGCUGGAUUCGCUAGUAAUCGCGCAUCAGCCACGGCGCGGUGAAUACGUUCCCGGGCCUUGUACUCACCGCCCGU